AAUUAGAGGAAGUAAAAGUCGUAACAAGGUUUCCGUAGGUGAACCUGCGGAAGGAUCAUUACCGAGUUUUGAAAGGGGGACUUGAGCUGGCCUCUCGGGGCAAGUGCUCGGUCCUCUGCUCAAUCCAUCUACCCCUGUGCACCUAUUGUGGGUACUAUGUCGCGGAAGGGGGGCUGGCUAAGGGCCUCUUGGAUGCGCAUAUACUCAUGUUUUACACACUACGCAUGUCCUAGAAUGUCAUUUUUGCGAUAAUCGCAUGUAAAUACAACUUUCAACAACGGAUCUCUUGGCUCUCGCAUCGAUGAAGAACGCAGCGAAAUGCGAUAAGUAAUGUGAAUUGCAGAAUUCAGUGAAUCAUCGAAUCUUUGAACGCACCUUGCGCUCCUUGGUAUUCCGAGGAGCGCAUGCCUGUUUGAGUGUCAUGAAUCUCUCAAUCCCUCUGGCUUUGUUGACAGAGGGCUUGGAUUUGGGGGCUUGCCGGCCUAGUCGGCUCCCCUUGAAUGUAUUAGCUUGGGUCUUGACCGCAAGGAUCCUCGGUGUGAUAAUUAUCGACGCCGUGACAACUUGUGGCGCGUGUGACCGCACCCCUCGGGUGGCGUGUGACCGGACCUCUUGAAGCUUACAAUCGUCCUCGGACAACAUCUUGACAUCUGACCUCAAAUCAGGUAGGACUACCCGCUGAACUUAAGCAUAUCAAUAAGCGGAGGAA
Molecule: small RNA, 709 nt
Filed under: uncultured Polyporales
Lineage: Eukaryota; Fungi; Basidiomycota; Agaricomycetes; Polyporales
Description: eukaryotic LSU rRNA
Rfam family: 5.8S ribosomal RNA (bases 267-422)
Source: RNAcentral